This is a long non-coding RNA of Microplitis mediator, 1081 nucleotides long. RefSeq lists it as uncharacterized. The transcript is spliced from 5 exons. The record is from RefSeq and is a predicted model, not a curated record. NCBI's taxonomy places the organism in Eukaryota, Metazoa, Arthropoda, Insecta, Hymenoptera, Braconidae.
UCGAAUCCGUAACGGUUAGCAGUCAGGCAAUGGAUCAGCUACAGACGAUGUUCGAACAUUUAUUAUUCGAUAAUUAUUUAAGUGUCGUUUGUAAUUAUUAUCGUGAUUCAUGAUCGAUCUAUUGUUUAAUUUCUAUCAGUGAUUAAAUUGUGUGCAGUUUAGUGUCCAAUGUGUGAAUAGUGAUGAUACUGAAAUUAGCCGGCGUUUAAAAAUUUUUUUAAAAACGAUAAAUUAAACAAAAAAAAUAUUUCAAAGAAUUGCAUCUAUAGUUUUUUAAAUUUUCUACAUAAGCAUUUUUUUUUUUUUUUUUUUUAAAUUAAAUCGUUGAAAAAAAAAUUCGAAAAUUUUUAAUUGCCUGCUAACUUCAGGAUCAUGAAUAGUGAGUAGUGAAAAAUAAUUAAGUGGUGAGUGAUAAAGUGAAGUGAUUGUGAUUUUGUGGGAGCUGAUGUUGAAUCGCAGAUUUUUUCUGUCCCUGAAUAUUUAGAAAAUGAUCGAACUCGGAAGAUUUUCUUAACUGGAAAUGAAAGGACUGCUACUGCUACUGCUGUUACUGCUAGUGCUGCUGCUACUGCAGUAUACUGAUUGCCCGGCGUAUUGGUCGAAUUAUUCAAACGUAUCAGAAGCAUUCACUCAUGCGAAUACUCUCAUCAUCAUCAACAAUUACUCACCCGGUGCAGAUGUGAGUCCGUAAAAUAUAUAGAGGAGACGAUAUGGAUGAAGCUCAAGUGUAAGAGUACGAGAGCACCCCAGUUAUUUGUCACGAGUUCAACAGCGAGCGAAACGAAGAAUUGAUACACAUGUGGUAAUAAUGUAUGGAGUGAGUGUAUCGUACAUAAAGUCUACAGGACGUAUAGACAGAUAAUUACAUAGAGCUGCAGUACAACAGAGGGUGGAUAUGGCGGUAAGGUCGGGCGGGACCAAGUUGUUAUCUCGGACUUAACCGCCUACGAUAGAUACAGAGCAGACUUAUUUUCUAUUGUCUAUGCAUCGGGAACUGCAUCGCUCGUCCUGGGCUCGGCCGAGAAAAAAUAAAUUCGAAAAAAUUCGAGGCUCAAGAAUUACGAUAAUAAAAAAAAGAUAU